RNAcentral lists this ribosomal RNA (301 nucleotides) under uncultured bacterium. RNAcentral describes it as "partial 16S ribosomal RNA". It matches the Rfam family "Bacterial small subunit ribosomal RNA", at positions 509 to 807 of the family's 1533-position model. The record is from RNAcentral.
CAGUCGCCGCGGUAAUACGGAGGGUGCAAGCGUUAAUCGGAAUUACUGGGCGUAAAGCGCACGCAGGCGGUUUGUUAAGUCAGAUGUGAAAUCCCCGAGCUUAACUUGGGAACUGCAUUUGAAACUGGCAAGCUAGAGUCUUGUAGAGGGGGGUAGAAUUCCAGGUGUAGCGGUGAAAUGCGUAGAGAUCAGGAGGAAUACCGGUGGCGAAGGCGGCCCCCUGGACAAAGACUGACGCUCAGGUGCGAAAGCGUGGGGAGCAAACAGGAUUAGAUACCCCUGUAGUCCCUGUCUCUUAUAC